GGGUGGCCCGCCGCGCCAGCUCCGGCAACCGCCGCCUCUCUGGAAACUUUCUCCUCAGUGGCCAGCGGCCCUUCCCGCCCCUCACCCGCGGAGCCGGGGCCGGCCGGCACGAAAGGGCUCCCCGCGGGCAGCCGGGGCCGGGGCCGCACCGGCCUGCCCUGCGCCGCGAUGGACUCCGGCGGCGGCGAGACCCACGAGCUCAACGGGCUGGCGGAGGGCGCGGAGCCGGCGGUCGACGAGCGGCGCAGAACGUCACAGUGGUUUCAAAGAAAUGGACCUAUGAAUAUCAAUCACUACGCAAAUAAGAAGAGCGCUGCGGAGAGUAUGUUGGAUAUUGCCCUGCUGAUGGCCAAUGCCUCCCAACUGAAAGCCGUGAUGGAGCAAGGACCUUCUUUUUCCUUCUACAUCCCACUUAUCAUUCUUAUCAGCCUGUCGCUGACAUUGCAAGUCAUGGUGGGAGUGCUCCUGAUAUUCCUUGUAAAAUAUGACCUUAACAACCCUGCAAAACAUGGAAAGCUGGAUUUCCUCAACAACCUUGCAACUGGACUAGUAUUCAUUAUAGUAGUUGUGAAUAUUUUUAUCACUGCCUUUGGAGUGCAGAAGCCGUUUGCUGAGUCAGCAUCAAGACAGUAAGUACAAGUGAAAGAAAAACUCAAGAGGGAAGAGAGGAGAAGCAGGUUUUGCUUAUCACACUGAUGUAUGCUGAGUAGAGAGGAAGAUGAGUUGACAAUCCAGUCCCAAGCCAGUUAGUGCCUAAUAUAAUGGUAUAUUGAGAAGUCAGCUAAUAUCCAGAAGAGACCUGAAUCAUUCAUUCUAGAUGCCAUUUGUACUUGAGCCAGUUACACUUGGACACAGCGGGGAAAAAAAGAUAAUCUGAAGAAGCUGGACAUACCGAGCAGCUUUCUCAAGUUUCCAACAACCAACACAUUUGUGUACUUAAGUUUUCCCAUGUGUUAAUAUUUAAACUCUUUGGCAUCUAAGGAAAGGUUGAUUUUGAUCCAAGGACAUCGUUUUUCUGCAAUAUUGGCGUUUCAAUUUCUGUAGAAACUCAUUGUUUUUCAGAGAAGUGGCAUAAGCUCAUCAAACAAGGUAAAAGCAACCCGUGGCACUUCACAGGACUUCCCAUUUUCCAUGCCUUUUGUUUUUGUGGCAAUUUGUCAUUUCCACCAUGGUAAGAAAUGGCAGGCCUUCGGUUCUGGCGUGGUCACAUUGUCCUUUGUUUCACUCGCUUGGCACCAAACCUAUGUACUCCAAAGCGCAGCAGUGGUCGUUCUUUGCAGUGCGCAAAGGGAGCUGUGCCUUGUUUUCUUUUUUGUCCACUCUAGCUAAACCAAAGAUGAGACAAACAGAAACAGCGGGCUAUCUUUUGUCCAGUUUUGCUCACAGGUACUCAUUUGUCCUGUUUCUUCAUCUCUGGACCACACUUAAAAUUUCCUCUCCUUUGUGCCCAGACACAAAAAUAACCUAAUUGCUAAUAGUUUCUUACUAUUAACUGCUAUACUUUGUAUUCUGUGGGUUUUAAUAUAUUUCUGGAAACCCUGUUAGAAGCGCUACCUUUUCUAGGCCGAACUGGAAAACUAGAGGAUACAGGGUGAACUUUACCUGCUAAACUGGUACCGAGUGCCUGUCAGCAAUUCAAGUAGCAAAUUGAAAGAAGUUCAUCCCUCUAUAACUUACUUUUCCCUCUUCUCUUCCCAAGAUUGAUUGCUGCAGUUGUGUUACUCUUAUGAGUUUAUGGCUAAAAGCAUAAGUAAUUUUUUAAUUUUUAUUUUUAAACAUAUAUAGAGAGAUAUUUAUAUCUUCUAGGUUAUUACCUGCUGGCUCAGGGACUGACACUUUUUCUAAAUACAGUAUUGCUAGUAAUGGUGUAGGUUAUAAAAAUUUCUGCAACAAAAACAUUUCAGUCAUUUUAUUUCCGAAGUACGACAUCUGCAAUCAGAAAAAUCCUAGUUUUCUAGAUUGUGCUUACUUGUAGAUGCAGAUUUGUACUAAUACAUUUCCUUACCGUUAAUUUUUAAAUGUUCCCUUGCACAUGUUAAUAGAAGUUUGACUUCCAUGUGUUUCAUCUCAUUUACAGUUUUUAUUGAUCACAUUUCUUGUUAGUUAUGUCUCAAGGCCCAUCGAUGUACCAUAUCUUCAUUUACAUGUUCUGUAGAAUUACUAACAGAAAACAAAUCAGAAACUUGUGUGAUUAGUAAUGGAAUAGACACUCUUUUUCAUUUUUUAAUUCAUCUUUUGUUGCUUCAUUUCCAACUUCACAUGUAUUUAACCAGUAUCUACCAAGCAAUGGUUUUAAUUGUGCGUGUUGUACUAAUUUAAACGUAGCUCAGAACAAGUUCUGAAUGAAGCACUCAGGACAAUUUUCCUUAUUUUUUACAAACCAGCGAACUGUUGAAGGACUAUUCAUACAUGUGCUAUCACAGUUUCAAUGCUGUAGUGUGGUGAAUUGACUGGCCAAAUAGCAGUGCUGAAAACCUUAAAAACCUUUCUUUCGGAGAAAAUAGGCAACUAUAAGCAGAGCCCUUCCAAGCAUCAAAUUUAUCUGUGGCUCAACAUUGGGCAGUAAUUUUGAUAAGAUCCUUGAAUGUACCACCUUUGUUACCUUCACCUUUUUACUCACUGGAAUAUUUGCCCAUCUGUGCAUCUGGUUCAGUCUGGAGGGGCUCUCAAGAGGCACCAACCUCUCUUCUGUACAGGAAACUGUACCUAAGCUAGGUGUCUGAAGUAGUUGCUUUGUAUCAUCCUAAAUACAUAACCUGUCCAAAAGAUAGUUACUUUUAACUUAGUUAUGAAUAUUAGAUAUUUUUCAUUGCCAGAUUUGCAUCUCUAGUUUUUUUAGCAAGACAUUAAAAUAAGAAGAAAUGUGUUUCUGGCACUUUGCUAAUCCACUCACUUUUUGGCUUGUCCUUAAUACCCUAAAGGCAAAUGCAAACAGAUGCCCAGGCUGUACUGAUGUUUACCAUCUUUACACUUGGUGGUGAUUUGGCCCAGUUUUGAAUGUAGCUUUCCGCUCCUGUGCUACUUAUUGCCAUGGCCCUCUCUUAUGAGCAUGAUCAUGUUUGUCUUGCACUGAAACAGCAGUCAGAGGGGGGUGCAGUACAGACAUACCAGGUCUUUUCCCAUUUUAUUCCCUUUUUUAUUGGAGCAUAAUUUUUGAGGUCACUCAAGCAAACAAGCUGUUACAGCAGGUUUCUCCUGAAAAACAUAAUAGCUGUUCUUAUAGCAUCUUUGCUGCUAAGCUGUUGUCCAACAGAAACUACCAAGGCUUGUAUAUCCCAUCUCCCAGCAGCUUGUGGAACUAACUGGAUCCAGCGCCGUAGAGCAGGGAACAGUCACGAGGCAAUGACUUGUCAACUACGGAUUCCAAUGGACUUUGUAAGACACAGGUUUUGGGACAUACAGAAGGGAAAGAAAAAAUACUUCAAGCUUGAACUCAUUGUUGGGUGCCAAGAGCUGGCUGUGGAGAUCAGCAUUAAGGGGGUACAUGUCUGUUCACUUGAAGUCUGCCAGAGCCGGGCAGAACAAAACAAGAACAACGGAACAACAACAAAAAACUGUCAUGAAUCCUUCUGCCUCCUGAGCUCCUGAAAGUGUGGCUGAAGCAUCACAACAGAGAUACUUGCAACUUCAGAGGGCCUGGUCUCUUCUUUUGGUUCUAAAUACAUGAAAACCUGAUCUGAAAGCCAUCCAUCUGACUACGAGACUGUACUGGGCAUCAGGAGGGUUCAACUUGCAACUGGAUGUCUUUUUUUAAAUAAAAAGGAUGCUGGUUUAUUACCAUGUCUUUUAAGGUGAUUAAGUAAGAUUUGCAAAACAUCCUCAAACACGCAAUCCGUGUUUCAAGUCUCUGAAGUCUUCAGAGAUCAUGUAUUUUUUAGCAGACAAAGGCAUCUGCAAGUUGGUUUCGAGUAUAAAUAAUUUAAUCACAUGAUUAUUAUUCUUUUAAGUCAGGUGCUUAUUUAAAAUCCUAGCAAAUAUAUCCUAGGGGCAGCAAACAAAUGCCUGGGUUUAAAUAGUUCUUUGGUUUGCUGUGCUUCUCCAGCAUUCUUGGUUGUAGGCAAACAUUUCACUUAAAAAGAGGUCAUCAAUAAUGAAGCGAGAUGAAUUUUUACAGGCUGUCUCGGGAAACGGUUCAUGCCAGGUCAUCCGUUUACUUCUGUUUCAUAAGCUUCUGAGCAGAGUAAGAAUUACACAUGCUGCUCUGGUCAUUCUCAUUAGUCCCUUCAGCAUCUAGGACUGCCUGGUUUGAAAUUUUUGGUGUAGCUGUACUUACUGAAGCAGGUGACAACAACUAUAUUUACUGGAACUGACUUUUAAGUAUUUGUCUUCUAAACCAGGUCACUGCUGAAGCUUAUUCUGGAGCUGACUAUUACAUAAAAUGGGCUGAACUAGAAAGCAGAAUCCUGGUUACUGUUUUCCCCUCAACUAUCAUUUGUAAGGUUUUGGUCACUCGUUUUAAUUUAUUCUAACAAAUGCUUUAUCCUGUGUUCUGGCACAUCUUCCCACAAGUUGCACUGAGCCCUGCCAACCAUGCUUUAGUGUAGGUACUAGAUGACUGGGGCACACUGCCCUGUACCAGAGGUGCUGGUGUGCUGUGCUCAUCUCCUUGGACCAGGGCACGGGCUUGUUACUUUCUGUUACCCUAAAAGCUUGGAUGCUCUUUUGGUAUUAGAGGAAGAAGAAACGUGAUAAUCUCGAUCAUUCAAAUAUGUACAAAAGAGUUCUCAGAAAUGAGUGACAGAAUCCAAAUGCUAAGCUCUGCUUAUUUUCUAGCUUACCAAAGGUGUUGCCAUUGUAAGUUUUAUCUGGUUCAGGAAAUGCUACAUGUGGUACCAAUUUAUGCACUGUUUUACAGUUUGUUUUCAAACCCCCCCCCAAAAAAAACAAUGAUGUCAAAAGCUGGUCCUUGUUCUACAAUAUAAUUUUGUCAAACCACAGGAGAACUGGCUCUACUGAAAGUGUGUUUACUUACUGCAGGGCAGUAGGAACACAGAAGAAAACUGAUGAUACAUUUUCAUAUGUAUGAACUCGUAUCUUUGAUAACCUGCACAUUUAAAGAAAAAUAGUUCAUCAGUUCUGCCGUAAGGUUAGAGGCAGCAUCGGGCAUACAGAAGUACUGAGACCGAAAAGAAGCAGGCUUGCUAUCUCCUUAGUUGUUUGCAUACAAGAAAAAGCCACAUUGCUGCUAAAUGACAGUGUUUUGCUUUUAAAGAAAUGAUUUGCAGGUCAUAUACAUAAGUACAAUAUCCCAAUGUGGGAGAUGGAGCCUCCCAUCUUUGCAUGGCCAUCCCCACAAACACUACACUUCCGUU
Harpia harpyja (harpy eagle) is the source of this 5312-nucleotide RNA transcript. It is a transcript of the gene named ninjurin 1, with no coding region annotated. The transcript has 5 exons. Lineage: Eukaryota; Metazoa; Chordata; Aves; Accipitriformes; Accipitridae. The record is from RefSeq and is a predicted model, not a curated record.